Molecule: long non-coding RNA, 3559 nt
Filed under: Homo sapiens (human)
Lineage: Eukaryota; Metazoa; Chordata; Mammalia; Primates; Hominidae
Description: non-protein coding lnc-ADGRL3-2:6
Source: RNAcentral
AACAUACAGUCCUCAGCAGCUUUAGCAUGGGCAACAAAUUAAGUCUCUGUAAAAGGCCCAAAGGACAGGGUUUGGUGAGAUUCUGGAGAGCUGGAAACAUGGAGGUUGACAGGAAUGUAAAGAAGAACUCAUUUACAUGCCAGGAGGGUGGAACACCCCAAUUCCAUGAGGAUAACUGCUCCUGUACUCCAGACCUCACCCCAUGUGUCUCUUCAUCUGGCUGGUUAUUUGUCCUUUAAGAUCUCCUUACUCAACCAGUAAAUGUGUCUUUACAUUGUUUUAGUCUUGAACUAGAAGAUGAAAGCAUCAAAUAAAGAAAUAUACUGUGGGUAUAUGGAUUACAAAAAAAGAUCUGUGGAAGUUUGAAGUUGAGAAUGAUGACCUAGAGUAUCUGGUGGAAGAAAUUUCUAAGCAGCAAAGUGUUCAAGAUGUGGCCUGGAUGCUUCUAACAACCUAUGCUCAGAUGUAGGCACAAAGGAAUGACUUACAUUUGGAACUUACAUUUAAACAGGAAGCAGAGCCUAAAAGUUCAGAAAAUUUGCAGGCUGAUCAUGUGGCAAAUAAAUAAAAACCUUUUACAAGAGAGAAACUCAAGCAGGCUGUUGAGCAACCAUUUGCUAGAGAUAUCUGCAUAACUGAAAAGGAGCCAAAUGCUAAUAGCCAAGACAAUGGGAAAAAGGUUUCAGUGACAUUUCAGAGAACUUCCUGGCAGCCCUUCUUACCACAGGCCCUGAAGCCUAGGAGGACUGAAUGGUUUUGUAGGCCAGGCCCAGUACCUUGCUAGCCUGCACAGCCUUGAGACACGGCUCCCCAAAUUCUGGUCACUCUGGCCCCAGCCUCAGCUCAAAGGGGCACUGGUAAAACUUGGGCCAUCACUUCAGAGGACACGAGCUAUAAUCAUUGGCAGAUUCCACAUGGUGUUAAGCAUGUGGGUGCACAGAGUGCAAGAGUUAAGAAGGCUUGGUAGCCUCUGCCUAGACUUCAGAGGAUGUAUAGAAAAGGCUGGUGUUCAGGCAGAAGGCUGCUGCAGGAGUGGAGCCCUCACAGAGAACUUCUAGUAGAGCAGUGGGGAGGGGAAAUGUGGGUUUGGAAGCCCACAGAGUCCCCAGUGGGGUAUUGCCUAAUGAAGCUGUGAGAAGGGGGCCACCAUCAUCCAGAACCAAGAAUGGUAGAUCCAUUGGCAGCUUGCACUCUAUGCCUGGAAAAGCUGCAGGCACUCAGCUGUAGCACUUGAGAGGAGCCAUGGGGCUACAUCCUGCAAAUUCACAGGGGAAGAGCUGCCCAAAGCCUUGGGAGCCCACCCCUUGCAUUAACGUGCCAUGGAUGUGAGGCAUGGAGUCAAAAGAGAUUAUUUCAGAGCUUUAAGAUUUAAUGACUGUCCUGCUAGUUUUCGGACCUGUGUGAGCUCUAGUCCCUUUCUUUGCCUGACUUCUUUCUCUUGUAAUGGGAAUGUUUACCCAAUGCUGGCACCCUCAUUGUAUCUUGGAAGUAAAUGACUUGUUUUGAUUUUACAGGCUCACAGGUGGAAGGAACUCAUUUUCAGAUGGGACUUUGGACUUGGGACUUUUGAUUGAGUUGUUGCAGAAAUGAGUUAAGAUUUUGGGGAAUUGCUGAGAAGGCAUGAUUGUAUUUUGCCAUGUGAAAAGAAUAGGUAAUUUGGGGGAAGACAAGGGUAGAAUGAUAUAGUUUAGGUAUUUGUCCACACUGAAAUUUCAUGUUGAAUUGUAAUCCCCAAUGUUGGAAGUGUGGCCUGGUGGGAGGUGUUUAGGUCAUGGGGGUUGAUCCCUCAUGUCUUGGUGCUGUCCUCUCAAUAAUGAAUGAGUUCUCUCAAGAUUUGGUUGUUGUAAAGUGUGGUACCUCCACCCCCAACUCUUUCUCUUGCUCCUACAUUCACCAUGUCAAGUACCUGUUCCCACUUUGCCUUCCACCAUGAUUGUGAAGUUCCUGAGGCCUCUCGGAAAGCAGAUGCCAGCACUAUGCUUCCUGUACAGCCUGCAAAACUGUGAGCCAAUUAAACCUCUUUUCUUAUAAAGUACCCAGUCUCAGGUAUUUCUUUAUAGCAAUGCAAGAACAGCCUAAUACAAUCAGUAAAUAUGUCAGAUUCUACAAUGAGGCUACUAUAAUGUGAAGAUAUUUUUCUUAAUCAUUUACAUUUACAAAUAGACUAAAAUUCUUGUUUUAUGUUAUUGUCUUAGUUCAUUUUGUGCUGCUAUAACGGAAUACUACAGACUGGUAAUUAAUAAACAACAGAAGUUUAUUUGGCUCAUGUCUCUGGAGAUUGGGAAGUCUAAGACUGAGGGGCCUCAUCUAGUGAAGGUCUUGCUAUGUCAUAACAUAACAUGGUGGAAGUCAUCACAUGGUGAAAGCAUGUGUAAAAGAGGAAGACAGGAGAACUCAUACUCUUAUCAGGAUCCCACUCCCACAAUAUCUAGCCCUCUCCCAGGAUAACAGCACUGAUUAUCUUAGAAGGGUCUCAACUCUCAGGACUGUUGCAUUGGGGAUUACAUUUCAAACACGUGGAUCUUGGGAGACACAUUUAAACCACAACAGUGAUGUUUUGAAUAAUAAAUAUACAUCUACAAAUGUGUUUCUUCCACCUGGCAAUGCCUUCUUCUGAUAGUUUUAUUCUGCAAAUUUCAAUUAUUCAAAUAAAAUUUCCUCAUUGGCCCUCUUUAACACUUUUUCCUCUGAAAUCUUAUAUUACUUGUUGCUUUACAAAUACUCUUUAAAAAUUAUUCCACACUGGUAUCUAAAUUCUUCCUUUUUUCCCAGUCUUAUCUUCCCAAUUGGCUUUUAAUUUCCAUCAGGAAAGGAUCCAUGUGUUUUGACUUCUUGGUACUGCUCACAGUAAUACGUAAAUAAUUAAGAUUUAAUAUAAUUGGGUUUAAUUUAAUUUCAUGUAGAUUCCAAUUGAUUUUUCCAAUUAGAUGUGUGAGAUUUUUAUUCAUUAAAAUACGCAAUUAUACUAGCAUCCAUUUUUACUUGUCCAAAGAAUGAGCUAAGAUUUAAGUUAUAUUUUGCGAUCUUGAGAUACAUUUCAUAUGCUCUUCGUUGAAUCACUUUUCUAUUCAUCUUCAAAUUCCAGCUAUAAAAUAUGAUAUGCAAUUGUCUUAGCUCAGAUUGAUCACAAAUCCUUGUUCUACAAGAUACCAUGUAUUCAUAUAUUCAUAAAAAUAUCAACAGAAAUAAUAUAUUAAUAAAUAUUUAAGUAUGUAAUUUCAGAAAGAGAUGGUAAUGUAUCAGGACAGAUUUUAGUUAGGAGACACAAUAUGCUUAUCCGAGCACAAAGUUGGUUUUUAUCAAUUGAUGUUAGUUUUUGAUUAUAUACUAUAUGUAAGUUCUCUAUUUAUAAUUAUAAUUUUCUCAUUAAUAAUAAUAAUAAAUCAUACCUAUAUUGUACCUUGAAAUUAUCAAAGCCCCUUUCAUUUCCACCUCAUUUUCUCUCUUUCUCUUUUUCUCUUUCUUUUUCCCUGUUCUUUUAGUCUCUGUCUCUCCUUCAGAAAAAAUAUCAGUUACUUAGCAGGACAUAUAUUAUUGUUUCCAUGUUACAGGUUGGAAA